RNAcentral lists this ribosomal RNA (406 nucleotides) under uncultured bacterium. RNAcentral describes it as "partial 16S ribosomal RNA". It matches the Rfam family "Bacterial small subunit ribosomal RNA", at positions 29 to 526 of the family's 1533-position model. The record is from RNAcentral.
AUUGAACGCUGGCGGCAGGCCUAACACAUGCAAGUCGAACGAGUGGCGGACGGGUGAGUAAUGUCUGUGAAACUGCCCGAUGGAGGGGGAUAACUACUGGAAACGGUAGCUAAUACCGCAUACCAUCGGAUGUGCCCAGAUGGGCUUAGCUAUUGGGGGGGGAAACGGCUCACCUAGGCGACGAACCCUAGCUGGUCUGGGAGGAUGACCGGCAAAACGGGAACUGGGACACGGUCAGGACUCCUACGGGAGGCAGCGGUGGGGAAUAGUGGACAGUGGGCGCAAGCCUGAUGCAGCCAUGCGGCGUGUAUGAAGAAGGCCUUCGGGGUGUAAAGUACGUUCAGCGAGGAGGCGGUACUCGCAGAAGAAGCACCGGCUAACUCCGUGCCAGCAGCCGCGGUAAUUC